UACGUAGGGGGCUAGCGUUGUCCGGAAUCAUUGGGCGUAAAGCGCGUGUAGGCGGUCCGGUAAGUCCGCUGUGGAAGUCGAGGGCUCAACCCUCGAAUGCCGGUGGAUACUGUCGGGCUUGAGUACGGGAGAGGCGAGUGGAAUUCCUGGUGUAGCGGUGAAAUGCGCAGAUAUCAGGAGGAACACCGAUUGCGAAGGCAGCUCGCUGGAACGUUACUGACGCUGAGACGCGAAAGCGUGGGGAGCAAACAGG
RNAcentral lists this ribosomal RNA (253 nucleotides) under uncultured bacterium. Its description in RNAcentral is "partial 16S ribosomal RNA". It matches the Rfam family "Bacterial small subunit ribosomal RNA", at positions 524 to 776 of the family's 1533-position model. The record is from RNAcentral.